Molecule: ribosomal RNA, 1399 nt
Filed under: uncultured bacterium
Lineage: Bacteria
Description: 16S ribosomal RNA
Rfam family: Bacterial small subunit ribosomal RNA
Source: RNAcentral
UUCGCCCUUAGAGUUUGAUCCUGGCUCAGGACGAACGCUGGCGGCGUGCUUAACACAUGCAAGUCGAGCGGAGACAUACCACAUGAAGUUUUCGGAUGGAUUGAGGUAUGUUUUAGCGGCGGACGGGUGAGUAACGCGUGAGCAACCUUUCCUUCACUGGGGAAUAACACAGGGAAACUUGUACUAAUACCGCAUGAGACCACGGUGGGGCAUCCCACAGGGGUCAAAGAUUUAUUGGCGAAGGGUGGGCUCGCGUCCGAUUAGGUAGUUGGUGAGGUAACGGCCCACCAAGCCGACGAUCGGUAGCCGACCUGAGAGGGUGAUCGGCCACAUUGGGACUGAGACACGGCCCAAACUCCUACGGGAGGCAGCAGUGGGGAAUAUUGGGCAAUGGGCGCAAGCCUGACCCAGCAACGCCGCGUGGAGGAAGAAGGUUUUCGGAUCGUAAACUCCUGUCCUUAGGGAAGAGCAGAAGACGGUACCUAAGGAGGAAGCCCCGGCUAACUACGUGCCAGCAGCCGCGGUAAUACGUAGGUUGCAAGCGUUGUCCGGAUUUACUGGGUGUAAAGGGCGUGUAGGCGGAGAUGCAAGUUGGGAGUGAAAUCCCGGGGCUCAACCCCGGAACUGCUUUCAAAACUGCAUCCCUUGAGUAUCGGAGAGGCAAGCGGAAUUCCUAGUGUAGCGGUGAAAUGCGUAGAUAUUAGGAGGAACACCAGUGGCGAAGGCGGCUUGCUGGACGACAACUGACGCUGAGGCGCGAAAGCGUGGGGAGCAAACAGGAUUAGAUACCCUGGUAGUCCACGCUGUAAACGAUGAAUACUAGGUGUGGGAGGACUGACCCCUUCCGUGCCGCAGUUAACACAAUAAGUAUUCCACCUGGGGAGUACGACCGCAAGGUUGAAACUCAAAGGAAUUGACGGGGGCUCGCACAAGCAGUGGAGCAUGUUGUUUAAUUCGACGCAACGCGAAGAACCUUACCAGGACUUGACAUCCAACUAACGAAGUAGAGAUACAUUAGGUGCCCUUCGGGGAAAGUUGAGACAGGUGGUGCAUGGUUGUCGUCAGCUCGUGUCGUGAGAUGUUGGGUUAAGUCCCGCAACGAGCGCAACCCCUAUUGUUAGUUGCUACGCAAGAGCACUCUAGCGAGACUGCCGUUGACAAAACGGAGGAAGGCGGGGACGACGUCAAAUCAUCAUGCCCCUUAUGUCCUGGGCUACACACGUAAUACAAUGGUGGUAAACAGAGGGAAGCAAAACCGCGAGGUGGAGCAAAUCCCUAAAAGCCAUCUCAGUUCGGAUUGCAGGCUGCAACUCGCCUGCAUGAAGCUGGAAUUGCUAGUAAUCGCGGAUCAGCAUGCCGCGGUGAAUACGUUCCCGGGCCUUGCACACACCGCCCGUCA